AAAAGGGAGGAAUGUGACUUGGAUGAUCAACAACACAAGUUAUCAGCUGAUGGUUGUUGAGCGGCGAGUUUAAAAGUGAUUUUAGUGAUGGUGGGAAGAUGGCUUCAUAACGGCAGGUUUCCGUCGUCACGCUAACUGGAAUGUUACUGAGGUUUGCCACGAAACAGUGAGAGUUUGGGUCGUUUACCUUGUGUCAAGUUUUUGAGAGUACAAGUCGAGUAUUAGUGGGAUUAUGAACAAAGACUGUGGGUGCGCUCCAAAACACCCUCACCAGUGUUGUGCCAAAAAAGGGCUGUAUGCCAGACACUCAUUGCGGUCCGCUGGAGUACGCGCACCCUGCAAACAUGCAUCGGCCAGUUUAUUCACGCGCAUAACUGCUUCGAGCUGUGAUGAAAUGCAAAAUGGAAGGGAUCAAGGAGCCUCCUCCUCCUCCUGUGUGUUUAACCUGAUGAAAAUCAACAUAGGCAGUGGUAUUCUUUGUCUAGCUUAUGCUAUGGCUAACACAGGUUUUUGACAUUACUUCAUAUGAAGACCAUGGAACAUGUCAUCCUGUUUGUUUGUCUUGAAGUCAGAGAUUCCUGCAGCCAUAAACAGCUUCCUGAGCCCAGACAACACAGGAUUAUAACUCUGGCCCUCAGAGAAGUCAGAUCUGACACUUCUUCACCACAACAGCUCACAAACUGGAAAUACUCGAGCAGAAUGCAACAUAUGAAUAAUGAGGCAGAAGAUCUCUGACCAAACCACAGUGCACUACUAAUACUUUGUAAGAGAUUAGGAGGAAACUUGUGCUUCAUGUUAUAUAGCACAAAGGAUGCCCAGAGGAAAUGUAUUUAUUACAGAGAGCCAUUCAUCACCCAUCAGCAGCAGCCUGCGGUCUACAUAGAUGAGCCUGCAGCUCCUCUCCCUCACAGAGAAGUCCUCAGCCAAGAAUGUAACUUCUAUCACUUUAUUACUGGCCACACCAGUUUAAGCAGGGGUUGUAGCUGCUCUCAGGCCAAUCCGUCAACAUCUGAAUCUUCCACACACAGCUGCUUUGUAUUAGUACUCUCCUUUCACCCUAAAUUUCUCACACAUGUUCCCCGGAAUCAGACUGAUACAAGGGGAUAUCAGUUUUGCCAUUCUAAUUACAGCUCACUGCUGAAGGAAACAAAACAUUUCUGUUAAUGAGUGGCUUUUGGAUGUUAACAGGCAUGCACACAGUUCCAUCAAAGUCUAAAUACACAAGUUGUUUUGUAUUAAAGUGCGUUUCUUUUUUUCUGGCUCAUUUCUCAUAAGGUGGUAGAGUGAAAACAGUUGUGCUCAGUCUGUUAGUCUUCAUCUAGGCUGGUGGAGUGUGUGUCCUGCUUAGGUUUCUCCAGUCAUGUUUAAGUGCUGUAACAAGGCUGGAAACAUGGACAGCUGUGGAUCUGGACUUGAGCUGCACUGGUCAGAUUUAUGUUGAUCUUUAACACUAUGUGGAUAUUGACUCAUUGGCAGUCAUACUCCAGCCUUAACUGAGAACUAUCCUGCAUCUUGUUAUAGCGUGAAAUGUUCCACAUUUCAUGGGUCUUCUAGGUAUCCUGCGCCUUUACAGUAAGCCUCGAGCCUCCUGAGAAUGCAUCCUAAUUGUGGUGGAGGGUUUUUUUGUAUCCCUGUGUCUGCAUUAAAAGCGAAGAGGGCUUUAGUUUAACUGUGGUAGAGUGUGUUAGCUAAACCUGGGUUAGAAGAGAGAGGUUGGGGUCAGAGCAGAGGUCCCCCCUGACAUGCAGUUACUGGGCAGAGACAGUGUAGACGCACAGACAAAUUUGUCAGCGCCUAUGGUAACGCCACAGCUGUGAAACUGCCAAAGGGGGUCGGUGAGUGUUGAUGUGGACAGAGCAGGUGCUGUUGACUGUGGGAGCCCCAUAAAAAGUGAUGGAGCCAGUCACUCAUGACCCCACACUGCGAUCCAACAUACAGCAGCGCCAGGCAGCACCCGACCCCGACCCCAGCGGAGCCGGCAUGCCUUCCACAUGUGUCACCUCGAACGCAGCCCCUCCUGCUUCUCUAGCUCCCGAAUCCUGAAUAAGCCACCAAAGCUAUUCCUAAGCAAAGGAAAAUAUUAUUCCCUCUCUCCAAAAACCCAGCAAGUGAAAUGCGGUCUCAUCUGAGUAACAUGUUUGCAUGUGAAUUACAUAACUGUUAUAGUUUGCAAGAGUCAACACUCUUAAUUUGUACCACAUGAUGAAUGUGCUGCUCUGCAUUUUAACACCAAAUGGAGACAAAUUUGCAGAGCCAUUUCAUUAAGGCAGAUUUGUCUUUGCUGUCCUUGACAUUUCAGGACAAGGGAGAGUGCGUCCUGUUCUUGUAUUCCAAAAAUGCCUUGUAUGAAGAUGGCCCGUUGCUUCUCAUCCUAGUGAGACUGUGUUGCUCUACCUUUGUCAGUAUUGUCUAAAAUUGGAGUUUGAACUUUUGUUUCUUACUAGAUGUCCUACACGCCCUUACAGGCUUCCUGGUUUACACCAGUAGCCUCGCUUGGUUCUACAGCCUGAACCUCAUAGUUGCGGUGAGACAAUAUUUCCUUCCAACAUGAGGUUUUUCAACUCUUCUGUCAUCUGUGUCGAGAAAUAACUCGUCCCCUGCCCAGUGCUUCACAACAUUACUAUGCUUUCAGGUGCUUUUCAGGUAACGGCAAGCUUAUUUACAAACUUAAAUAAGAUACCAUGAAUAUGAGGUCUGAACUAUAGACUGGACAGUCAUGGCCACAGGAGGACUGGAACAUUAGGAGGAAAAACCCAGGAGAUUACUGAUUGGGUUUGCUCUGGCUGAUGAAGACCAGGGAAGGCUGCAGAGUGCUGUGUAUGGUGCCAGUCCUGAGGGGAAGGAAGUUCCGGUGACCUUGCUUGAGCCUGGAAAUUACCUCUGACCUUUUAGAAUUCUAGAGACCAUACUAUAACUUCAGAUCUGGUAUGAGUUAUCUUAGAUGGUUGUUUUCCUUUAAAGCCAGGCAACAAGAGUUUAGCUGCAUGUUUCUCCCAUUUACAGCAGAACUGAAGAAGUCCUCUUAGAAACGGCAUGCUCACUCUUCUCCCCUUGUUUCUACAGACAUCAGAUUCCUCUGACUGUAUGUACACCUUCUCUUUGGCAUCUCUAGCGAGGUUCAGUACUGUAUGUUUAUGAAACCAAUGUUUUGUCAACAUUGCACAUGCAGAACCUGUGAGAAGUGGUUGAAAGUCGACCUGCUUCAGUUUUUUGACUCUAGUGAGAAGUCACAUUUUACCUACGGACAGGCUGUUUAUGGCAACUCAGCUACCAUUCUCAUGUAUGUUGUGUGUAAAGGCCACAUGUACAUAUGGCAUGCAGAAGAACAAGUGGGUCAAACAGAAAUGGAUGUUGUUACAUGUUCCUUCUUAAAAAUUACACUUGGUAUUUAGAGAUGCAUAUUUAAAUUCACUAAGGAAAAGUCACGCUGCAAUCCAGAUGACCUACUACCACACCUUGACCUACCCGCCCCCUCACUCCUAUAUAACAUUGUAAAAUGAUAAUUUGCAAAUGGUGGCUGUGCUCAACCAGACAUAAGGACAGUUUCUUCCCCUAGGCUGUCACUCUGAUUAACAUUUAACCAAUAUCUGUAUAACAGAACGACAACCCUCAGUGCAGCAUUGUGUAAAUAUGCUUUUGUAUAUAUCUGAAACACCGCAUCUAAAUUGUGUAUAUAAAUUUCUGUAUUUAUAAGUAUAAGCCUCUGUAGGCAGAGGCAACUAGCUUAGCUUUAACACAGUUAUUUCCUUUUAGCUGAGUAACGCUCUCAGCGUUCUGCACAGGGGACGGGCUUAUCCUUGUGUAUCUGGGUUUGACGUCACACCUAGCACAACAAUGCUCACUCUUGAGGCAGGAGAUUCAAAAUGUUAAUUAACUUAAAAACAGCAGAGAUAAUGGUUACUAAUUUGACAGCAGAGGAGGAUUGUCACAUCACCCUAAAACAUUCCAAAGCCAAUUUUGUUUUUGUCUUCCAUCAUGCCAACUCUUUAAGUCUUUAAUAGUUAUUUCCGGUCCCACCUCACUUCCUUUCUUUCAAUUAUCAGAAACUUGGCAUGAGUCAUUACCACAGUACUGUAGGAGUGUGUUUGGUUUGAGUGAGCUACGCAUAUCUGUGUGUGUGUUUGCUCUAGGCCCAUAAGGCUGUGGUCUUACUGCUGUGUGGAGGACUUCCCUUCUCCUGGCUAAUCCACAUCAUUGCAACUUUAACCAUUCUGGACAUGAUGCUGAUGCUGGCCAUCGAUGUACAUGAUAUCUGACAUGUAUCUGGAGUAUUAGGCAUGUGACAUUUUUUUGAAAUAUGGAGAAAAUGUGCUUGUUUUGCUAGAUAUUGUGGUCUUUAUGAAUCACAUAAUUAGUUUAUCCUAUACACAAAGAGUUUUGCUUAAUUGUGACCUUUUAGAUAUUCUGAUCUGUUCCUGACUAUAGCAGACUAAAAGAGCAGCCAAGAUGUCAGUAUUCCACAGUUAUUGAUCAUGUUGUCUAAAUUCACAGUAUCUGCUCAUACAUAAUUAAUGGUGCAGUCCUGCUCAGACAGUUUAUGAAGCUGCUAUUAUCAGACAGGCAGCAUACUGUCUGUGCAAUUCAAGCACAUUUUCUGUUUCUUUUGCAGGAUCAACAACCUCCAACUGUCUCCUUUUUAUUUUACCUGACAUCUUUUGUCUUUUAACUUCAGCAGCCAACCUCCCAGAUCCUUUGACUGGGACAUUAUAUAUUUUUACAUAAUGUAAUGACCUAUUUACAUUUCCUGAUUUUACUCUUGUUAUUGUUUUUUUUUCAAGCUUCUUGUUUUUGUCCUUUAAUUCUGUGCAGUAAUUUAGUUUUAUAUUAGAAUUACCACUUCACGGUUGUAUGCCUCUGCCAGCCAGUCAAAUUCACUGAAUGGGACAGACAGGGAGUCAGUGUGACCUUGACUAUUGAUCACCAAGAUCCAAUGAGCUCAUCCACAAGUCCAACUAGACCUUUGUGGCAAAUUUGGAGAAAAUCUUCAAGGUGAUUCAGAGAUAUUGCAUUUACAAUAAUGGGAUGGAUGGACAACCUGAAACCAUAAUGCCUCCACCCAUGGUCAUCACCGGUGCAGAGGGAUAAAACUGAACAUUCAGUUAUUGUUUGGACCAUUUAAUUGCAAUAUACGGUAUGCAGGCAUAAUAUAAAAUGUUAGUCUUGAAAUGACUGGCAUUUAAUUAAAGGAAAGCUGUUCAUGUACUGACAUGUUAGUUUGCUCAUUCAAACCCUAAACUGUCUUUAUCAGUGUUGUGGAAAGCUCCUCAUUCUGACAUGUUACAUUAAUGGCUGUGUCUUUGAUUGGCAGGCGCAGUACUGACACUGAGACCUGUUCCUCAGUGUUGUGCUGUAGCUAAUGAAAACCACAUGCCUGGUACAUUUCUAAUCAUUAUGCUGUUUAGAUUGUCUUCAUACUGCCUGCCUCUGGAACCUAUGGCCAUCCGACUGCUGCU
Molecule: long non-coding RNA, 5453 nt
Organism: Monopterus albus (swamp eel)
Lineage: Eukaryota; Metazoa; Chordata; Actinopteri; Synbranchiformes; Synbranchidae
Exons: 5
Source: RefSeq, a predicted model, not a curated record